This 174-nucleotide ribosomal RNA is filed under the name Triticum aestivum (bread wheat). Its description in RNAcentral is "partial small subunit ribosomal RNA". Lineage: Eukaryota; Viridiplantae; Streptophyta; Magnoliopsida; Poales; Poaceae. The record is from RNAcentral.
AUGGCUUCCCUUACUAUGCUUGUCGGUUGGGUCAUCUGGAAUGAGAGGAACGCUAGAGUUUUUAGGAAGAAAUCAACGCCCCCCUUCUACAUUCUAAAACUAAUCCAAGAUGAAGCCAAACUUUGGGUCACGACAGGAGCUAGGCACCUGAGCAUUAUCAUGCCGCGAGAGUAG